This 253-nucleotide ribosomal RNA is filed under the name uncultured bacterium. RNAcentral describes it as "partial 16S ribosomal RNA". It matches the Rfam family "Bacterial small subunit ribosomal RNA", at positions 524 to 776 of the family's 1533-position model. The record is from RNAcentral.
UACAGAGGUCUCAAGCGUUGUUCGGAUUCAUUGGGCGUAAAGGGUGCGUAGGCGGCGCGGUAAGUCGGGUGUGAAAUCUCGGAGCUUAACUCCGAGCCUGCUUCUGAUACGGGCAGACUAGAGGUAUGCAGGGGAGAAUGGAAUUCCUGGUGUAGCGGUGAAAUGCGCAGAUAUCAGGAGGAACACCGGUGGCGAAGGCGGUUCUCUGGGCAUGACCUGACGCUGAGGAGCGAAAGUGUGGGGAGCGAACAGG